This 440-nucleotide ribosomal RNA is filed under the name uncultured bacterium. Its description in RNAcentral is "partial 16S ribosomal RNA". It matches the Rfam family "Bacterial small subunit ribosomal RNA", at positions 338 to 795 of the family's 1533-position model. The record is from RNAcentral.
CCUACGGGUGGCAGCAGUGGGGAAUAUUGCACAAUGGGGGAAACCCUGAUGCAGCGACGCCGCGUGAGUGAAGAAGUAUUUCGGUAUGUACAGCUCUGUCAGCAGGGAAGAAAAUGACGGUACCUGACCAAGAAGCCCCGGCUAACUACGUGCCAGCCGCCGCGGUAAUACGUAGGGGGCAAGCGUUAUCCGGAUUUACUGGGUGUAAAGGGAGCGUAGACGGCAGGGCAAGUCUGGAGUGAAAGGCGGGGGCCCAACCCCCGGACUGCUCUGGAAACUGCCAGGCUGGAGUGCAGGAGAGGUAAGUGGAAUUCCGAGUGUAGCGGUGAAAUGCGUAGAUAUUAGGAGGAACACCAGUGGCGAAGGCGGCUUACUGGACUGUAACUGACGUUGAGGCUCGAAAGCGUGGGGAGCAAACAGGAUUAGAUACCCUAGUAGUC